This 329-nucleotide ribosomal RNA is filed under the name uncultured bacterium. RNAcentral describes it as "bacterial SSU rRNA". It matches the Rfam family "Bacterial small subunit ribosomal RNA", at positions 137 to 479 of the family's 1533-position model. The record is from RNAcentral.
AGGGGGAUAACGUCUUGAAAAGGACGCUAAUACCGCAUGACAUCUCGCGACCGCAUGGUUGUGAGAUCAAAGGAGCAAUCCGCUGAGAGAUGGACUCGCGUCCGAUUAGCCAGUUGGCGGGGUAACGGCCCACCAAAGCAACGAUCGGUAGCCGGACUGAGAGGUUGAACGGCCACAUUGGGACUGAGACACGGCCCAGACUCCUACGGGAGGCAGCAGUGGGGGAUAUUGCACAAUGGGGGAAACCCUGAUGCAGCAACGCCGCGUGAAGGAUGAAGGUCUUCGGAUUGUAAACUUUUGUCCUAUGGGAAGAAGAAAGUGACGGUACC